AGCGAUGGCACAGCUGAGAUUGUAACCAUGCAGAGAUAUCCAAGGUAUGUAGUGUGUCAAAGCACCCGUCCCGGGACUGUGAGAAUCUGGAAUGUGGCACGGACGCGAUUCAAGGGUCGUCCUGUGCAGGUAGAGCAUGGCCUGUUCUCCAGUUCAGACAUCGCUCUUGUACGAGACCUGAAACUCUAUAUACUGUCUGACCGCAGAACCGCCAACUUCUCAGAUACACCUACAUCUGUCUACCAGACAUUGCUGGUGUAUGACCUUCUUAAAAAGAGCUACAUUAAGAAACAGACUGGACUGUUCAUCGUGCCCUGUCCUCGACAAGACUAUCGGCUCUUAGAUGGUGAAAUACUGCUGGGUCUUUCAGAAACACGGU
Molecule: long non-coding RNA, 379 nt
Filed under: Sinocyclocheilus anshuiensis
Lineage: Eukaryota; Metazoa; Chordata; Actinopteri; Cypriniformes; Cyprinidae
Description: lncRNA (ENSSANG00000026448.1)
Source: RNAcentral